CUUAUAAAUAUAAAUUCAGUCAGACCCAUAUCCAGCAGGAGCUGGCUAAAACUCGACAUAUUGGCAAUUUUAUUUUCUUUUACUGAGCACAAGUUGGGAAUGUACUGAACUCACUAUGCUUUCACAACAUUACAAAAAAGACAUGGAUGAAGAGGUCCAAAUGAUUCAGCUCAGGUCUUCCAUCGAGUAAAAGCCAGCACGGUCUCUGAAAGCAUGGCUACAGAAUCCUUGAGGCCUGAAUCCAAUCCUGAAAACCCUACUGGAAAGGGCGUAAAGAUUUUGAAUGGGGCUAGGAUCCUAACCUUUCUUGUUCAUCGAUACAACUGCGCCAUUCCACCAAAGUGACUACAUUGGAGAAGCAAAUAAAGGUCUCUUAAUGUCCUGUUCAAUAUUCCUCCAAUACCUGGUACACCAAACCAACAAGACGACAGCCCAGUGAUGUGGCUAAGUUGCGGAAUUUUACUAUGUAGAAAAUUGCUGCUACACUUGUCUACAAAGCAGUGAUUGUUUGAAGUAUCUCAACAUGUUUCUGAUGAGGCACAAACUUUACAGCAUUGAAAAUAACUGAGUGGAUCCUUUUCUGAUUCCACCGGACUAUUGCAAUUCUUUAUACAGUUCAAUGAAUGAGAGGUUUCCCGGGAAUGAAAUGUGUUUUUGUGCAAUGGAGCUUCCAGCAACACUCAGCUUUCUGAAGUCCGAGUUUCCUUUAUUAACGCGGCACAUUCAAAGAAAACAUUUGUGUGAUCUCAGCUGGGGAAAACAGUUGGGUGCUACAAUUGGCUUUAAUACUCAUGGGCUGGGGAAAGAAAGCAGCAGCCACAGACUUCUGCCCUUGAUUGCUAUGCGCUGACCCCUGCUGGGAAAUAUACAUGUGGAUAUCAGGUGUGAAAAAGAGUGCGCUCAGCUGUGACACUCCCCUGAUUGAACCUUCUGCCAACAUUCAAUGACAGGGUUUAUUUGGCUGAAAUAAUGGAAGGUAGCUGGCACAUGCUGCUUUCAAAGUUGGGAGGGGUUUAACAAAAACAUGCAAGUGAAGCAAAGGAUAUCUGUCAGAAGCAGUCCAAAACAGAAGAUUAUACUGUCAGCUUCAAAGGCAAUUAUGAAUUGACUACAGAAAUUAUUAGGCAUUAAGUUUACAAAGGACAAUAACCAUGAACAAAGGUUCAAAUAGAAAUUACCGACUGCUGCGCUUUUAUGACACUUGUGUGGGCU
Molecule: long non-coding RNA, 1212 nt
Organism: Stegostoma tigrinum
Lineage: Eukaryota; Metazoa; Chordata; Chondrichthyes; Orectolobiformes; Stegostomatidae
Exons: 3
Source: RefSeq, a predicted model, not a curated record